Molecule: ribosomal RNA, 566 nt
Filed under: uncultured bacterium
Lineage: Bacteria
Description: bacterial SSU rRNA
Rfam family: Bacterial small subunit ribosomal RNA
Source: RNAcentral
CUAGUUGGUGAGGUAACGGCUCACCAAGGCGACGAUGCAUAGCCGACCUGAGAGGGUGAUCGGCCACAUUGGGACUGAGACACGGCCCAAACUCCUACGGGAGGCAGCAGUAGGGAAUCUUCGGCAAUGGACGAAAGUCUGACCGAGCAACGCCGCGUGAGUGAAGAAGGUUUUCGGAUCGUAAAACUCUGUUGUUAGAGAAGAACAAGGAUGAGAGUAACUGUUCAUCCCUUGACGGUAUCUAACCAGAAAGCCACGGCUAACUACGUGCCAGCAGCCGCGGUAAUACGUAGGUGGCAAGCGUUGUCCGGAUUUAUUGGGCGUAAAGCGAGCGCAGGCGGUUUCUUAAGUCUGAUGUGAAAGCCCCCGGCUCAACCGGGGAGGGUCAUUGGAAACUGGGAGACUUGAGUGCAGAAGAGGAGAGUGGAAUUCCAUGUGUAGCGGUGAAAUGCGUAGAUAUAUGGAGGAACACCAGUGGCGAAGGCGGCUCUCUGGUCUGUAACUGACGCUGAGGCUCGAAAGCGUGGGGAGCAAACAGGAUUAGAUACCCUGGUAGUCCACGCCGU